RNAcentral lists this ribosomal RNA (496 nucleotides) under uncultured bacterium. RNAcentral's name for it is "partial 16S ribosomal RNA". It matches the Rfam family "Bacterial small subunit ribosomal RNA", at positions 28 to 507 of the family's 1533-position model. The record is from RNAcentral.
GAUGAACGCUGGCGGCGUGCCUAAUACAUGCAAGUCGAGCGAACAGACGAGGAGCUUGCUCCUCUGACGUUAGCGGCGGACGGGUGAGUAACACGUGGAUAACCUACCUAUAAGACUGGGAUAACUUCGGGAAACCGGAGCUAAUACCGGAUAAUAUAUUGAACCGCAUGGUUCAAUAGUGAAAGACGGUUUUGCUGUCACUUAUAGAUGGAUCCGCGCCGCAUUAGCUAGUUGGUAAGGUAACGGCUUACCAAGGCGACGAUGCGUAGCCGACCUGAGAGGGUGAUCGGCCACACUGGAACUGAGACACGGUCCAGACUCCUACGGAGGCAGCAGUAGGGAAUCUUCCGCAAUGGGCGAAAGCCUGACGGAGCAACGCCGCGUGAGUGAUGAAGGUCUUCGGAUCGUAAAACUCUGUUAUUAGGGAAGAACAAAUGUGUAAGUAACUAUGCACGUCUUGACGGUACCUAAUCAGAAAGCCACGGCUAACUACGUG